CUUCCAUUCAAUAACUUUCAUUCAUCACAUCAAUCAAUCAUACAACAAGCGAAGCCUGAGCUGUUUACAAACGGUAAGCGUAUCGCGAUUUAACCGUCAAAUCACUUCAGUUGUCAAAAUAAAGGACAACGUCGGGUCGAACUAUAACGUCCUCACUCGUCAAAAUUAAAAUUCGGAAUGUACUAUUACUACAUAUGUCCAUAUGUUAAUGUAUGAAGAGACGAAAGCAGAAAGGGAACGUCUCACCAUAGCGAAUUAUUAGAAAAAUGGGAUUUCAUUCAUUUAGAAACGGAGAAAAAUCAGUAAAAUUUCAUUUUUCUUAUUAUUCACUAUGGUGACACGUUCCCUUUCUGCAUUUAAAUAUUCCUAUAUAUGUCAAUCAAUGUGGUAUGACUAAAGGUCAUCGCUUGUUUUUGUCGUUUCUGCCGAUAAAAGAAUAGUUAGCCGUUUCUGUAUGUAAUUGCGCUAUAUGCGACGUUAAAAUUGAAUGACUUCCGUAGUCGUUGAUGUUUUUUGUACCGAACUUCGACGAGUACUCAUCAGAACUAAUUUCACGAUUUUUAUUCAUCUAUACCGUUCAGGUUUUGUUUCAACAGUUUUAUGAUUCAAUUCUAAAGUUCAAUAAACGUUGUCAAGGGCUUUUCAAGAGAAAUCUUAAGUUUAGUGUUCAUUGAUGAUGAUGCAAAGUAAAUGUUUUGUUCUGUUUGUGUAAUUUGUGUUUUUGGU
Molecule: long non-coding RNA, 726 nt
Organism: Bradysia coprophila
Lineage: Eukaryota; Metazoa; Arthropoda; Insecta; Diptera; Sciaridae
Source: RefSeq, a predicted model, not a curated record